UACAUCAUUUAUUUUUCAACACGAAUUUUCCAUAAAUAUAUAUCAAUACUCGUCAUACAUAGUUUUUGCUUGCGUAUAAUAAUAUUUUCUUACAGCACAUACAUAUUUUCUCUUUUAAUAUAGUUCUUUGUACCGAUCUGAGUUGCGCUCCCGAACUCACAGCACACGUUUCUCCCACCAUUCCCCUAAGAAUGAAAUAUAUUUUUGCAGAUUGCUAUCGAAUCACCGAUUAAGUAAUACUUCCAGGUCCUCCCUAACAGGGGUAUCGUUUCGUAUCGAUUUUCCCAAGUCUUUUUUCCACGAUAUGCCCGGAUAUGUCUCGUAGAAUUCGUUCAUUUUAUUGCCAUCUACCGUACCCAUUUUUGUAUUCAAUUAUUAGUUGAUUUUUGUCUAGCAAUCGACCCGCAAAAAUAUAUUCUUUUUUUUUUUUAAAGCAAAGUACAAUGUUCCUUAAAUUCUAUCAGAGUAUGGCGUAGAGACAGUAUAUUCAUACUUAACUAGACAGAACGGACAUACUUUCGGGAACGUACAAAUAUUUAAAAUUGCAGUGAAAUGUAUGAGUUCACAGCACAACGAGGAGUCAAACUAAUCAGCCUGAAACCAUCGCGCAAAUCGCACCUAUUGCGUAGCAAAUUAUUCCAGAAAUUACCGUCUUAAGAAUAUAUAGGUAUGCGCGAUGAAAUUCAAAUUCCAUUUUUUUUUUUCCAUUUACACGUAAUACUGAGUGGGACAAUUCACCAUCUUUAUUUCGUCGUGACUUCCUCAAUUUUAAACAGAUUAAAAUCGAGUAUGUUUAAGCGGAGGCUUUCCAUGAAAAAAAUUGAAUCGCUUUAACGUCUCUUCAGAAACAUCCCAUGCGCAAACAAUUAAUAACAAUUAACAUUCAACAUUCUUAUAGUCUAGCGAAGUUAAAGCUGAAGAAGUUAUGGCGAAGACAAGGGUAGGGAAAGAAAAACAGCCGCAGCCUGUAUUUCUCGACGUUGAAAUGUUUUGGAAGAUAGAAUGUUACAAAGCGUGAAUGUAUUCGUUCAUAUUAUAAAUUCUGUUGCGCAACACACGCUGCAAAGUCUCAACCCCCAUAACUUCUUCUUCAUUCUUUGUUUUUGUACGCGAAACCACGCGGAUAGAUAUACUUUUAUAUAUUUAGAUAUACUACUAAUCGACAUGCUACAACUCUCGGCCAGCAAGAGCAAGUUCAUUUUACUUAAUUUCCUCUUCGUAAUUUGCUACCAUACAUAUACAUAUUUGUUGUUGUUAAUUAUCAACGGAUAUUUAACAGCGAUAUAUGCGUAUAUAUGCAACAACAUCGUUUGUUAUCUUUGUCUUCUUUGUAGCAUCCGCGCCAGAGCCCUGUGAUAGUUACUUUUAAUAUUACAACAACGAAUGGGAAAGGCAGUGCAAGCGUCGAAUCUACCGAGUUGUUUUGAGGUCGAUUUUCGUAAAAAGUUUCAUCGCUGGUAUUCUAGAAGUUCGAAAGAAAUCUUUGGAAUACUUGAGAAAUACAUACAGCAAUCGUCACGAGGAAACAAACGAUUAAAAUUACUAAAUCGUCUUCUAAUUAGUAGAAUCAAUGAUUUUAUCUUUUAAUAAAUUGACUUCAAAACAACGCUCACUAUCCCUUACAGUACACACUUUAGCUAUGGAUAUUGCUCGCGUAGAAAAAUCAGUAGUGAAACAUAAUCCCUCUAAGCUCCUUGAGCACUAAAGUGGUGUCACCUUAAUUGACCGUGAGUUCAAUUCGAUUACCAACUAAUUACAAAACCUCGCCAGUAUCUCGAGCAACGACCGAUCCUUCGAUUCUUCCGUCUACGCGGAACUCCUUCUACCUCUAUCUCCAGUGAAAAAAGUUGUGUUCCAGAAAUCAAUAAGUGGGUCUAGUGCUCCAAGUAGAUCUAUCAUUCCUCUAACACCGCUCGCAUCGAGUUCAGAAACGAAAUUAGAACGCUAAACAGUUCGGAUUCCCUUCAUCCCUUAAGUGAACACAACACUCAUUUUGAAACCAGUUACAGUGUCGUUCGUGUCCUCUUGAAAAUUCAACGCAAAUUAGAAGAUCACGAACGCGGUCACCUCUACUCUCUGAAAAACUCCUCGACUAUUUUCAAAAGCAAACUUCUGAUUAACUUGUACGCUUGACUAUGCGUUUGGAAAAUGAUGAAACGUGUUCAGGCUAUCGGCACGUCUGUUCCUGUCUCUUUCUUCAACGUUAAUUACAAUUCUAAGGUACAACGCUAUCUAAGUCUAUGUACCAAUCACAGCGACACAGAACAUGUGGAACGUACCUACGUAUAUACCUACAUAGCCAACAUUAAUCUAUAUGUGUAUGCAAUGUAUGCAUAUUACAAAUAUGUAUAUACAUAUACAUAACAUAUACAACAUACAAACAUCGGCUUACAAUUACUCGACACGCACUAUGCACUGAGAGUGUCCUCGGUUAAAAAGAUAUUUCGGUGGAUUAGUUUGUCAUCGUUUUGCAAACAUUAGCAAUUUCUUUUAAAUAUACAUUUAUAUUUAUAUGUAUAUUUAUAUAUAUAUAUAUAUAUAUAUAUAUAUAUAUAUAUAUAUAUGUAUAUGUAUAUACGAUACAGUAUAUCGACCACUGAUUGUACGAUUAGGAUUUGUGCAGGGCACAACAAGCAAUCACAUUUAGUAUCCCCGCGUUGUAUUCGCCAGUGAUAUUGUUCUAUGUUCGCUACAGGUGCGCUAAAUGCAUCUUACAAAAAUUAUUUCUUAAUUUCCUCGGCUUUGAUUGUUCUUUCGUAUCGUUGUUAAUGUUUCUCAGGGAGCGUGACGUUGGUAAGUCUUGAUCGAAUAGAACGCGGAGCGAAACACGCAGCGUAUAAAUGCGUUAUCAGCACGCCACUAAUCGUGAUAUAUGUAUAUAUACGCGAUUAGAAAGUUAGUAGCUGUACACUUCUGACAACAGUUAUCUUUUAUUUUUGCACGGGAAAGGUGAUGAUUAACUCUGAAACUUGGCUGAAUUACGCAUUAUGAGCAAGAACGAAGAAUGAAUCAUAUUUGUUCGUCGAAGAAAAUAAUUUUCGUUUCGGAUACUUGUCAGAUUUGUAUUAUAUUUUUGUUGAACCACCGAGUAGAUACCCAUAAAUGGCAUUAGUUCGUUAAUCGCGAACCGUUUAUUUUUAUUUUAAUUCCCCUAUCUUUAUAUAAAAUACUCUUACUUCAUUCCUUGCGAAGAGGAACGAGGCAAUUUAAUCUAAUUUGAUCUCUGAAUUGACGCGCAUAUUUGUCGGCUCUGGAUCUAGUUCGACUGUCGAUUCCACAAAUAUUUAAUAUAGUGACGUAUAUCGUCCUUCAAGCUCAUUGACGAUUGUAUAGAUGCGCUGGCAACGUUUCUUACAUUUUCGUAACUUAGUUCGUAGGUUAACAGCUUCUCGUGUCCCGACCGUUUACUUACUAUUCUUUUAAACAUCCUUGAUAAUUCGAUUUCUUUUCCGUUAGGAUAAAACCUUUUUAUUCGUAGUUGGUACCAACUGAGGCUUCUUUUGAAUAAAAUACUAUGUUUCGCCAGCGUCGUAACAAGCUUCUUCAGGGGUCAAAUGGCAUAAUUAUGGAUGAACUUUGAUAUAAACUCUUCGAUUGGCAGCCAAUGAAUUAUGGCACGAGCUGAGGUACCUUGAUACUUCAUGUACCAGAAAUCUAUCUAUAGACUUGAAAUUUUUUAAACUCGACCUUUUAUAUAUUUCUAAGUUUUUAUUUUUUUAAUCUAUUUCUAUUGGAAAUUCUAUUUCUAUUGUCCAGUGAUAAUAUUGAUGAACCAGUGCUAUUAAAAAGUAAUGGAAACAAAUUAAAAAUUUGUCUCUCUUUCUUAAAUUUUUAAAAAUUUUUAAUUCGUUUUCAGUACUUACCAAUAGCACCGAUUCGUCGAUAUUAUCGCUGGACAUUUCCGAUAGAAAUAGAUUUAAAAAGGUAAAAUCUUAGAAAUACUAUAUAAAAGCUCGAAUUAAAACUUAAAAAGUCAAAUAUAGAAAACUAAAAAAUAGAAGUAUUACAAAUAUAACUGUAGAAUAUAUUUCUCACUUCUAUGAAAGUAUGAAUUUUGAUUAUAUUUUUGCGAACACCCUUUGGAUGGAUCCAAGGCCUGCUGGUACUCGCGACAGGACAAAGCUUUGAAAAUGUAACCGUAUUUCUGAGAAUUUUGUAUAGCACGGAACUAAUCUCUAUUUUGAAUUUAACGAGUUACGGCUUCUUGGAAUCUCCUUAGACAUUCUCCAGUUUUUGUACUGUUAGGGUAAACACGACGGUUGCCACACCUUGCUUCGCUAUCACAACAUAGCGGCGAGCAACAACAAAUGUCACGGUUUUCCAGAAGGAAGGGGAAUGACCUGAGCGGGGCAGGUCAGAAAUCUCCGCAUUCGAAAUCCGUCCGUCGAGUAAUAAGGUUGAAUCAAACGAGUGCGUUAUAUGCGAACGGGGAAUAGGUCGGUUAAUUUAGAAACUCUUCUUCGAACUUGACUAUUUCUAAAUCGGUAGUUAAAGUGUGAACAAGACCCAAGCUGCAUCCCACGCCAACAUUGGUCUGCCACUUCUAUCCUGCGCUGUUCAGUUUGGCACCCUUCGACAACUUGCGAUCUCUGCAUAGUAUUCUACCCUAAAAACGCGUCCUUCGCUCCGUAAGCCUCGAUUAACCCAUACCUACGUCGGAGUACUUGGCCAUUUCAUUACGAAUCCACGGAACGUAUUUUGGCACGUAGGCGUAAACACCAGGUAAUUUCGGAUAUCGGAGACAUUUUGAUCUACGAAUUUACCUGACACGCGUCCUUCCCCCCAUCUGGAUAACCGGCACAGAUCAUCCCAUCGGUGACGUUCAAUUCUUUGUACGCGAGCCACAAAUUGCAAAUCUCCCUGUUCAGAACUGGAACCUGCACUUCGUUCACGGCUGGUUCGUACUCGGAUGCUGCAAAAAUCAAUCACCAGUAACGUUCGUCCUGGCCCCAAGGACAGUCCAUGACACCGUCGCAGAUGUGAGUGGCGGACAUGCACCUCCUCUCGCCGCAGUGCAAGGGGGAUUUCGAGACGGUGGUCUUCGCUAGAAUGGGCUUCUUCACGAUCUUCG
This is a long non-coding RNA of Hylaeus volcanicus, 5071 nucleotides long. RefSeq lists it as uncharacterized. The record is from RefSeq and is a predicted model, not a curated record. NCBI's taxonomy places the organism in Eukaryota, Metazoa, Arthropoda, Insecta, Hymenoptera, Colletidae. The transcript has 4 exons.